ACUUCCUUCAGUCACACUGAGCACAUGGUGCUCUUGUACCAAGAACAAAUGUCAGACGCUCUGCCUGGGCCUUGGGGGACGGAACAUGAGCAAGGGAGGAGGAAGUCAGUCAAAGGACAGAACUUCUGCUCGAGGACUGAGGAGUCAAGGAACAAAUGUCACCCGGAGACCCCAGGGAGACAGCUUCGCGUCAGCAGCCACUGCUGCAGAAAGAAAACACAGGAUCCACGAAGGAGACACAAGUGGUCUUGGGAGUCGGCCGAGGAAGGCAGGUGAGCUCCUGUGAGACGUGAGGGGUGCAGAAACAGCUUUGUGCUCAGCCACGUUUUUGUCUGCAGACGUGGGGUGCUCUGUGGGUGUCUGUGUGCACACACGUGUGUGUUUUGACCCUGGGCUCUGGCGGUGGAAGAGCAUUUCCUGAUGCGGAGGAUCAUUGGGUGAUCAUUGGGAGGAUCAUAGGGUUAAGGGGACAUGCUUCAGUGGCUGUUAUGGUUCAGGUGUGGUGUCCCUGAGGGACCAACUGAGUGCUCCCUGGAGUCAGGUGGGGUGUGGCUGGAGGGGGUGGGCAUUGGGGGCUGGCUUUGGGGUUUAUAUUUGUGUCUGGUAAAUGGAGUCUUUCUCCCUCUGCGUUCUGAUCAUCAUGUGAACUGCUUCCCUCUGCCACACGCUCCGCCAUGAUGUUCUGCCUCACCUCGAGCCCCAGCCCCGAGGAAUGGAGCCUGCUGUCUGUGGACUGGGCCCUCCGACACUAUUUGGGAAUAUUUGAGUGUUUGGGGGGCUGGGACCCAAGUCCAAGUCCUGUCACCUGUCAAUCACCUAUCUCGGUCUCGGAUUCGUAGCCUGGAGGAGAACAGCAUGAAAGUGAGAAGCAGCACCCAUCCAGAGGAGAAGCGCCCUUAGAGAGCCACCUACGGACAGCAGACGGGAAGGCUGCAGGCCAGGUGCAGCCUUAGCCAUGGACACCUGGUGAUGCCACUUGGUGACAGAACAUCACCUCCAAGGACUCCGGACCAGCAGCCAGCCUGGACCCAGGGUCUGCGUCCAGGCUGCUCUCUGUGGCCUCUGGUGCCCAUCCCACGGCACCUCGCCGGCUGUCUGGAAGACCUCACGGAGCGUCACUCAUCACAGAGAAAGCAAGCCCUCGGUCGAGGCACUCAGGACCAGCCCAGGCAAAACCCUCUGCCUACAGCGUAAAGAGACCCCUGGGCUCAUUCUGCGGAUUUUCAAAGAGCCCAAAGGAGCAGCAGGUCCUGGGCUUUCCUCAGGGCUCUGGAAGCGCAGGUGAGCCCGGCUUCCGCCUCGCUCCCCAGCUCAGCUGCACUCUGAAGCACAGGAGAUCGGGGACAGGGACUGGACACUGCCAUCUUUUCACAUCACCUUGUGUACAUGUUUAAGGAACAAAAACAGCAAGAUCAUAAUCUUGACAAUUAAAAAAGCCCCCACCCCCAAAUAAACAAACUGAAAAUAGCACAAAAAACUUUUUUUUUUCCUUUUUCUUUUUUCUUUUUUUUGGCAUUUUAAAGAGCAGGAAUAAAGAAAAGAAAGGAAUUUAUUUCUGGGUCUCAAAGUUAAUAAACAAUGAUGUGUUAGGUUGUAACUAUUAAGUUCACUAUUCCAACCUUUUUUUUUUUUAGUUUACAAAAUGAGUUACUGUCACUUUUAAACAUCGUGAAACAAGAGAUGGACGUGCACAAUGACACUCUCCUAGCAUCCUGACCUAACUCACAAAUGCAAGGAAAUGAAAGAAAAGUGGGAAACGAGGAACGCAGGUAGUUUGGUGU
Marmota monax (woodchuck) is the source of this 1781-nucleotide long non-coding RNA. RefSeq lists it as uncharacterized. NCBI's taxonomy places the organism in Eukaryota, Metazoa, Chordata, Mammalia, Rodentia, Sciuridae. The transcript is spliced from 5 exons. The record is from RefSeq and is a predicted model, not a curated record.